AAAAAGCGUCAAAGCUUACUAUGUUUAUCCUAAUUUCUUAAUCUCACUCGACCCCUUUAAUUAUACUGAGAACUUCUAUAAGAUUAUAGAACCUUUUAUGCUAAAACUAGUAACAAGAGGUAACCCCUCUCUACAAUGUAAGUAUACGCCAACAAGAACCCACCAUUGGCAAUCGACAGAUUUAAAUAAAAGUGGCAACUUCCCCAGAAAACCCCACCCUACUCAACUGUUAACCUAAUACCAGAACAUUUCAAGAAAGAUUAAAAGAAAGAGAAGGAACUCGGCAAACAUUAGCCCCGCCUGUUUACCAAAAACACCGCCUCUUGUCCCCCUAUAAGAGGUCUAGCCUGCCCAGUGACUUCUGUUCAACGGCCGCGGUAUCCUAACCGUGCAAAGGUAGCGUAAUCACUUGUCCCCUAAAUAGAGACUAGUAUGAAUGGCAUCACGAGGACUAAGCUGUCUCCUCCCCCUAAUCAGUGAACCUAAUAACCCCGUGAAGAAGCGGGAAUUUUUAUAUAAGACGAGAAGACCCUGUGGAGCUUAAAUCACUAUAACACCUGCCACCUCACUCUAUCUACCCAGGUCUUUCCCCCCCCGUGGCACUAUGAUUAUAUGUUUUUGGUUGGGGUGACCGCGGAGAAAAACCUAUCCUCCACAAUGAAAGGGACUUCCCUAAACAGUAAGCUACAACUUUAUGUAUCAGCAAACUGACAUCCAUUGACCCAAUAUAUUUGAUUAACGAACCAAGUUACCCCAGGGAUAACAGCGCAAUCCACUUCGAGAGCCCCUAUCGACAAGUGGGCUUACGACCUCGAUGUUGGAUCGUGGUAUCCUAGUGGUGCAGCCGCUACUAAAGGUUCGUUUGUUCAACGAUUAA
Molecule: ribosomal RNA, 877 nt
Filed under: Pristimantis festae
Lineage: Eukaryota; Metazoa; Chordata; Amphibia; Anura; Strabomantidae
Description: partial large subunit ribosomal RNA
Rfam family: Bacterial large subunit ribosomal RNA
Source: RNAcentral